GUCACACCAUCUGUCAGGUGACAAGAUUUCUGCGAAUUUGAGGACAGAGACACUCUCUUCACUCCAUCUUAGAUGCGUUCUGACAUUGUCAUUGAUGCAGACCUGAGGUGGUAAUGCUGGCUAGGAGAGUUGCAUCCACCCAGUGGAAGAUCACAAGAUGCCACACAGACUCUUUAAGGUCCUGGUACAUGGAAAGUGGUCAAGCCGUGGUGGUGAAGGUCGUGACUGAGAGCCAAAAAGGCAACGCAGGUGGGAUCAUACCUUGUGGCCAUUGCAGGCCUGGUGCUUCUGCUCUUCACAUAGCCUGGCUCUGACCCGGAUGGGAGUAGCAUCCCUCCC
This is a non-coding RNA of Heterocephalus glaber (naked mole-rat), 339 nucleotides long. Lineage: Eukaryota; Metazoa; Chordata; Mammalia; Rodentia; Bathyergidae. The record is from RefSeq and is a predicted model, not a curated record.